CCCGCUGAACUUAAGCAUAUCAAUAAGCGGAGGAAAAGAAACCAACCGGGAUUGCCUCAGUAACGGCGAGUGAAGCGGCAAGAGCUCAAAUUUGAAAGCUGGCUCCUUCGGAGUCCGCAUUGUAAUUUGCAGAGGAUGCUUUGGGUGCGGCCCCCGUCUAAGUGCCCUGGAACGGGCCGUCAGAGAGGGUGAGAAUCCCGUCUUGGGCGGGGUGUCCGUGCCCGUGUAAAGCUCCUUCGACGAGUCGAGUUGUUUGGGAAUGCAGCUCUAAAUGGGUGGUAAAUUUCAUCUAAAGCUAAAUACUGGCCGGAGACCGAUAGCGCACAAGUAGAGUGAUCGAAAGAUGAAAAGCACUUUGAAAAGAGAGUUAAACAGCACGUGAAAUUGUUGAAAGGGAAGCGCUUGCGACCAGACUCGCCCGCGGGGUUCAGCCGGCAUUCGUGCCGGUGUACUUCCCCGUGGGCGGGCCAGCGUCGGUUUGGGCGGCCGGUCAAAGGCCCCUGGAAUGUAGUGCCCUCCGGGGCACCUUAUAGCCAGGGGUGCAAUGCGGCCAGCCUGGACCGAGGAACGCGCUUCGGCACGGACGCUGGCAUAAUGGUCGUAAACGACCCGUCUUGAAACACGGACCAAGGAGUCUAACAUCUACGCGAGUGUUCGGGUGUCAAACCCGUGCGCGCAGUGAAAGCGAACGGAGGUGGGAGCCCCCUUGCGGGGCGCACCAUCGACCGAUCCUGAUGUCUUCGGAUGGAUUUGAGUAAGAGCGUAGCUGUGGGGACCCGAAAGAUGGUGAACUAUGCCUGAAUAGGGCGAAGCCAGAGGAAACUCUGGUGGAGGCUCGCAGCGGUUCUGACGUGCAAAUCGAUCGUCAAAU
RNAcentral lists this ribosomal RNA (871 nucleotides) under Aspergillus hennebergii. RNAcentral describes it as "LSU rRNA". It matches the Rfam family "Eukaryotic large subunit ribosomal RNA", at positions 24 to 910 of the family's 3401-position model. The record is from RNAcentral. Lineage: Eukaryota; Fungi; Ascomycota; Eurotiomycetes; Eurotiales; Aspergillaceae.